Molecule: ribosomal RNA, 592 nt
Filed under: uncultured Alphaproteobacteria bacterium
Lineage: Bacteria; Pseudomonadati; Pseudomonadota; Alphaproteobacteria
Description: bacterial SSU rRNA
Rfam family: Bacterial small subunit ribosomal RNA
Source: RNAcentral
GGGCCCGACGUCGCAUGCUCCCGGCCGCCAUGGCGGCCGCGGGAAUUCGAUUAGAGUUUGAUCAUGGCUCAGAACGAACGCUGGCGGCAUGCCUAACACAUGCAAGUCGAACGAAGGCUUCGGCCUUAGUGGCGCACGGGUGCGUAACGCGUGGGAAUCUGCCCCUUGGUUCGGAAUAACAGUUAGAAAUGACUGCUAAUACCGGAUGACGACGUAAGUCCAAAGAUUUAUCGCCGAGGGAUGAGCCCGCGUAGGAUUAGCUAGUUGGUGUGGUAAAGGCGCACCAAGGCGACGAUCCUUAGCUGGUCUGAGAGGAUGAUCAGCCACACUGGGACUGAGACACGGCCCAGACUCCUACGGGAGGCAGCAGUGGGGAAUAUUGGACAAUGGGCGAAAGCCUGAUCCAGCAAUGCCGCGUGAGUGAUGAAGGCCUUAGGGUUGUAAAGCUCUUUUACCCGGGAUGAUAAUGACAGUACCGGGAGAAUAAGCUCCGGCUAACUCCGUGCCAGCAGCCGCGGUAAUACGAAUCACUAGUGAAUUCGCGGCCGCCUGCAGGUCGACCAUAUGGGAGAGCUCCCAACGCGUUGGAUGC